UGCAGUCUAGUUCCCAGGUGCGCACACACCUGGCGGUGUCUGCUGCCUAGUCCUAGACCAUUCUGAGCUUGGUGAAUAGGAGGAAUGUCUGCAAGUUACUGCUGUGGGAUUCCCAAGAUGGAUGAUGUCUGGAAGAUGAAGGGAGAAGCAUGCAGGAGGAGUUGGUGUUUGGAAGAGCACACCUAAAGGAGAGAUGCUCCAGAAUGUGGCUGUAGACCCAGGCAGCUGCUGCACAGCAGAGGCCUCCUUGAUCCUGUUGGUGGCAAACCUGGCUUCUGAAGAGACUUCACAGCAGGGAUCAGAAGGAGGCCCAGAUUCCUCAGGUUCCCACUUCUGGAAUGCCUUCCUCUGCUCCAGACAGCUGCCCCUCCUCCGCCGCCUGCAGCUGCUUCUUGAGCACAUCUGAAGGCAGAAGGUCUGAUCUCCAUUAAUUAAAUCUGCCAUUAAAAAUUAAAUAACGUG
Molecule: long non-coding RNA, 462 nt
Organism: Acomys russatus (golden spiny mouse)
Lineage: Eukaryota; Metazoa; Chordata; Mammalia; Rodentia; Muridae
Exons: 3
Source: RefSeq, a predicted model, not a curated record